GAGAUCUGUUAAAAAAAAAAAAAGAAUCUGAGGACCUAUAUGUAAACCCUAAGGACCUAAUCGUGAAUAUGAUAAAAACAAGGACUAAUCUGCAAAAUGCACCAAAUGACAAAUCCCACCGCUUAAGCUUCUCUGCCUUCGUUCUUAAGGAAGCAGAGAAGGCAGCUCGUGGGUGAUCAGGGAAAGAAAGAAAGAAAGAAGAAGAAGAAGAAGAAGAAGAAGAAGAGAAACAAAAAUUGGGGCUUUUGGGGUUCUUGCUUUAAUCUUUUCAUUGGGGGUCAAAAUUCUCAAAGGAUAGCGUAUCGCUUGCUUAAAUGUUAAGAAUGGGCUGAGGCAGUGGAAAGUUUAGAAGACGUUGGGCAGAACUUUUGUUAGCAUAUAUGUAGUUGUGUAUGAGCUACCUUGCAUCUAAUGAAAUGUGACUAUGAAUCUAAACCUGUGGAUUUUGUGUAAGUUAAUGGAUCCCUCAUGUAUAGGGUUUUGGAAUGUUAAAUUAAAUUCGUGUAAUGAUAUGAACUUAUGGUAAA
Musa acuminata AAA Group (dessert banana) is the source of this 527-nucleotide long non-coding RNA. RefSeq lists it as uncharacterized. The record is from RefSeq and is a predicted model, not a curated record. The transcript has 2 exons. Lineage: Eukaryota; Viridiplantae; Streptophyta; Magnoliopsida; Zingiberales; Musaceae.